RNAcentral lists this long non-coding RNA (308 nucleotides) under Dromaius novaehollandiae (emu). Its description in RNAcentral is "lncRNA (ENSDNVG00000001422.1)". The record is from RNAcentral. Lineage: Eukaryota; Metazoa; Chordata; Aves; Casuariiformes; Dromaiidae.
UUUGCAUAUCUCAGAGUCCUCUGAGAAGAAAAUCAUUAUCUCUGUUUCAUAGAUUGUGAGAUGAAGGCAUAAAGAGUUACCUCACGGUGGUAUAUUGAAGAAUAUGAAGUGAGGAGCAGAACGGAGAGGAAACUCCAGAUCUCUUGAAACUCCAGCUCAGCACAAGAGAAAAGAAAUGCAUUACCAUCUGAUGAUAAGGAGCUAGCAGAGUCCACACGUGCAUUCAGACCGUGGGUAUAUGUAAACUACGUUCCCCGUGAGAAGGGCAAAAUAGAAAAUGUAUUUUCUCUGCAGUAGCAGCAGUGAUC